RNAcentral lists this RNase P RNA (533 nucleotides) under Candidatus Komeilibacteria bacterium RIFCSPHIGHO2_01_FULL_52_14. RNAcentral's name for it is "RNase P RNA component class A". It matches the Rfam family "Bacterial RNase P class A". Rfam says of the family: Ribonuclease P (RNase P) is a ubiquitous endoribonuclease, found in archaea, bacteria and eukarya as well as chloroplasts and mitochondria. Its best characterised activity is the generation of mature 5'-ends of tRNAs by cleaving the 5'-leader elements of precursor-tRNAs. The record is from RNAcentral. Lineage: Bacteria; Candidatus Komeiliibacteriota.
UUGGUUAUUUUGAUGAUCGCCUCUUGUCAGCUAUAAUGGCAGGAGGAGGAAAGUCCGAACACCUUAACAAAGAGCAGUCGAUAACGUCGACCGUCGAGCUCAGCUCGAUAGGACAAGUGCAACAGAGAACAUACCGCCCAGCACCACUUUUGAGCAGCGCUACGGUUAUACAACUAUAGGCGCAGCAUUUCAUCUGCAUAAUGUUCAAAAACUAAUGCAGGUGCACAAGUGGUGCUGGGUAAGGGUGAAAACGUGAGGUAAGAGCUCACGCGUUUACGCAGCGAUGCGUAUCUGUGCAAACUCUGCUCGGUGCAAGGCCAAGUAGGCCCAGCACCACUUUUGAGGAGCAUGACAGCGUAAUAAACUGAAGUGCUCUAUUUCAUCUGCAUACUGCUCAAAACUAAUGCAGGUGCACAAGUGGUGCUGGGCGGGUAGGCCGCUUGAUCACUGCAGCAAUGCCGUGACUAGAGAGAUGAUCAUCGCUCCGAUGCAUAAUCGGAGAACAGAAUUCGGCUUAUAAAAUAAUUAAGGCA